Molecule: ribosomal RNA, 371 nt
Filed under: uncultured bacterium
Lineage: Bacteria
Description: bacterial SSU rRNA
Rfam family: Bacterial small subunit ribosomal RNA
Source: RNAcentral
GUAGGGGGCAAGCGUUAUCCGGAUUUACUGGGUGUAAAGGGAGCGUAGGCGGACUUUAAAGUCUGAUGUGAAAGCCCGGGGCUCAACCCCGGAAGUGCAUUGGAAACUUAGAGUCUUGAGUUCGGGAGAGGAAGGCAGAAUUCCCGGUGUAGGGGUGAAAUCCGUAGAGAUCGGGAGGAAAACCAGUGGCGAAGGCGGCCUUCUGGAACGAAACUGACGCUGAGGCUCGAAAGCGUGGGGAGCAAACAGGAUUAGAGACCCUGGUAGUCCACGCUGUAAACGAUGGGUGCUACGUGUAGGGGUUAUUAACAAUCUCUGUGCCGAAGCUAACGCGAUAAGCACCCCGCCUGGGGAGUACGGUCGCAAGGCUG